Molecule: transfer RNA, 116 nt
Filed under: Bipolaris sorokiniana
Lineage: Eukaryota; Fungi; Ascomycota; Dothideomycetes; Pleosporales; Pleosporaceae
Also listed under: 1 other name
Description: Cochliobolus sativus tRNA
Rfam family: tRNA
About the family: Transfer RNA (tRNA) molecules are approximately 80 nucleotides in length. Their secondary structure includes four short double-helical elements and three loops (D, anti-codon, and T loops). Further hydrogen bonds mediate the characteristic L-shaped molecular structure. tRNAs have two regions of fundamental functional importance: the anti-codon, which is responsible for specific mRNA codon recognition, and the 3' end, to which the tRNAs corresponding amino acid is attached (by aminoacyl-tRNA synthetases). tRNAs cope with the degeneracy of the genetic code in two manners: having more than one tRNA (with a specific anti-codon) for a particular amino acid; and 'wobble' base-pairing, i.e. permitting non-standard base-pairing at the 3rd anti-codon position.
Source: Rfam by way of RNAcentral
GGUCGCUUAGCUCAGUUGGUUAGAGCGUGGUGCUAAUAAUCCAUCGCUAGGAGCAUAGCUCCUACAAAGGACCCUAGUAGACGCCAAGGUCGCGAGUUCGACCCUCGUAGUGACCA